This 459-nucleotide ribosomal RNA is filed under the name uncultured bacterium. RNAcentral describes it as "partial 16S ribosomal RNA". It matches the Rfam family "Bacterial small subunit ribosomal RNA", at positions 338 to 795 of the family's 1533-position model. The record is from RNAcentral.
CCUACGGGAGGCAGCAGUGAGGAAUAUUGGUCAAUGGGCGGGAGCCUGAACCAGCCAAGCCGCGUGAGGGAAGAAGGUACAGCGUAUCGUAAACCUCUUUUGUCAGGGAACAAAGGCGGGGACUAGUCCCCGGAUGAGGGUCCCUGAAGAAACAGCAUCGGCUAACUCCGUGCCCGCAGCCGCGGUAAUACGGAGGAGGCGAGCGUUAUCCGGAGUUAUUGGGUUUAACGGGUGCACAGGCGGCCUGUUAAGUCAGCGGUAAAAGCCCGGGGCUCAACCCCGGCGAGCCGUUGAAACUGGGGGGCUGGAGUGGGAGAGAAGUACGCGGAAUGCGCGGUGUAGCGGUGAAAUGCGUAGAUAUCGCGCAGAACCCCGAUGGCGAAGGCAGCGUACCGGCUCCACACUGACGCUGAGGCACGAAAGCGUGGGUAGCGAACAGGAUUAGAUACCCUUGUAGUC